CAAGGAAUUUUCCCCAAUGGGCGCAAGCCUGAGGGAGCAACGCCGCGUGCAGGACGACGGCCUUCGGGUUGUAAACUGCUUUUGCGUGGGCCGAUAACGACGGUACCACGCGAAUCAGCCCCGGCUAACACUCAGCCAGCAGCCGCGGUAAAUCAGAGGGGGCAAGCGUUGUCCGGACUUACUGGGCGUAAAGCGCACGCAGGUGGUAACGCAAGUGGGGUGUGAAAGCCGCCAGCUCAACUGGCGGAGGCCAUCCCAAACUGCGUCACUUGAGGCCUGUAGAGGUAUGUGGAAUUGCCGGUGUAGUGGUGAAAUGCGUAGAGAUCGGCAGGAACACCCAGGGGGAAACCAGCAUACUGGACAGGACCUGACACUCAGGAGCGACAGCGUGGGGAGCGAACCGGAUUAGAUACCCCUGUAGUCC
RNAcentral lists this ribosomal RNA (424 nucleotides) under uncultured prokaryote. RNAcentral's name for it is "bacterial SSU rRNA". It matches the Rfam family "Bacterial small subunit ribosomal RNA", at positions 355 to 796 of the family's 1533-position model. The record is from RNAcentral.